Molecule: transfer RNA, 66 nt
Filed under: Verrucomicrobiota bacterium
Lineage: Bacteria; Pseudomonadati; Verrucomicrobiota
Description: tRNA-OTHER
Rfam family: tRNA
About the family: Transfer RNA (tRNA) molecules are approximately 80 nucleotides in length. Their secondary structure includes four short double-helical elements and three loops (D, anti-codon, and T loops). Further hydrogen bonds mediate the characteristic L-shaped molecular structure. tRNAs have two regions of fundamental functional importance: the anti-codon, which is responsible for specific mRNA codon recognition, and the 3' end, to which the tRNAs corresponding amino acid is attached (by aminoacyl-tRNA synthetases). tRNAs cope with the degeneracy of the genetic code in two manners: having more than one tRNA (with a specific anti-codon) for a particular amino acid; and 'wobble' base-pairing, i.e. permitting non-standard base-pairing at the 3rd anti-codon position.
Source: RNAcentral
AGGGGAAAUGGCGGACUGUAAAUCCGCUGGCUUACGCCUUCACUGGUUCGAAUCCAGUCCUGCCCA